GACGAACGCUGGCGGCGUGCUUAACACAUGCAAGUCGAACGGAAAGGCCCUGCUUUUGUGGGGUGCUGGAGUGGCGAACGGGUGAGUAACACGUGAGUAACCUGCCCUUGACUUUGGGAUAACUUCAGGAAACUGGGGCUAAUACCGGAUAGGAGCUCCUGCUGCAUGGUGGGGGUUGGAAAGUUUCGGCGGUUGGGGAUGGACUCGCGGCUUAUCAGCUUGUUGGUGGGGUAGUGGCUUACCAAGGCUUUGACGGGUAGCCGGCCUGAGAGGGUGACCGGCCACAUUGGGACUGAGAUACGGCCCAGACUCCUACGGGAGGCAGCAGUGGGGAAUAUUGCACAAUGGGCGGAAGCCUGAUGCAGCAACGCCGCGUGCGGGAUGACGGCCUUCGGGUUGUAAACCGCUUUCGCCCGUGACGAAGCGUGAGUGACGGGAAUGGGUAAAGAAGCACCGGCUAACUACGU
Molecule: ribosomal RNA, 467 nt
Filed under: uncultured bacterium
Lineage: Bacteria
Description: partial 16S ribosomal RNA
Rfam family: Bacterial small subunit ribosomal RNA
Source: RNAcentral